Molecule: long non-coding RNA, 2390 nt
Filed under: Mytilus galloprovincialis (Mediterranean mussel)
Lineage: Eukaryota; Metazoa; Mollusca; Bivalvia; Mytilida; Mytilidae
Source: RNAcentral
GGUUUCUGCGUCAUUUUCAAACUAGUUAUUUUUUUUUUAAACAAUUCGCAUCUUUGACACUUGCCACAAUUGAAACUUUUUCAUCAGCUGUGCGUGGUCCUAUUUUUCAAGCUACAAAAUAACGAUUGUGAACUGCCAUUCAUUUAAAAAUCGUAUUCAUAUGCGUCAUUUUAUAUCAUUAAAUUCAAAGGGUCCAGUGUAAAUAAAUGAUUUUAUUGUUAAAUUAAUAAAAUAUCAGAUUGUGCAAUUUAUUUCGUAAUUUAUUUUUCACCCUGUUUCUUUUAAUAUAGGCCAGAAAUCCUUUGUAUUGGCUUAAGUAAUUUAUUUUCAUUAUUAUAUAUAUGUAAGUGAAACAACAUUAUUUUCUUGUAAAUGCCUAAAACUCUUUUAUUCGUAUUUGAGAAUUAAAGUUGAGGAGUCGUUCCAAAACUAUUGCAACGCCAUAUUUCUUGCUAUACGAACGGUUCAACCAAUGGUUCCGCCCUUCGAUAGGCUUAAAAAAAUCACCUCCCUUUGUUUUGCAAUAGAAUCGAAUAUCCUCGUCAUUUUUUUUUUUUUUUUUUUUUGCUUCAAAAAGUUACUUUUUGUCUCCGGAUAAAAAAUGUAGGCGGCUGUAUAUUUAUAACACCGUAAGCCCUUCUUGUAUUACGAUGCAACAGUUUGGUGAUAUAAUGAGCAUUUAAAGCAUUAGGAAGACUUACUUCAAACCCACUAUAUUCUAUUUAAAUAAUAGAAGGUGCUGCUACAAAACCUUGGAACUUCCAAUCCCGUGGUAUUAUAAUGACGAAAACUAAUGGGCAUGUCUCAUUUCCGAUUUUUAUCUUGUAGUAAUGUAAGUGUUAUUUAUAUGAAAGGCUCCAAUUUAGUCUUCCUUGCAUUGAUUAUUCAUAAAUGUCUGUAAGCCGUCUAAUGAAUUACUAUGUCCACUAAAGAGUUAUGGUCAAUAUGUAUGAGUCAUUCAUAACAAGACAAUUUAUCAGCCCCAAUAAUAUAUUCAUCUUUUAUAUAAGAUGAAAAUUGGUCAUGAUUAAUUUUGAUGAUUCUUACAGUUACGAUUUCCAAUAGGUAUAGUUUCUUUUCUUGAAUUAAUCAUGUGAAAAGACAGCUAAUAACUAACGGUGGUCGACCUUCUGCGAACUUUUGCAAAACAGACUCGUAAAUUUAUGUAAUAAUUAGUCGGGAAGAUAUUAUUGAUAUUUACUUGUUAGGGCAUAAUUUGUUUGAAUGAAAUUUGUAGCGCUGUCUACUUUCCGCUGAUAGCAAACUUAAACUGAAAUAUCGUUUACGACUAUAAUAAUACAUGUUCAGUUAUAUUUCAAACUUUCGUUUUUUAAAUUACUGAAAGUUAUUUGAUGUAUACAUUUAUUAAAUUCCUCACUUUUACUACCGCAACACACAAUUUAACCCGGCCAGGAUUCUACUUUAACACAAUUUCUUGCUUACUCACUUCCAUGUUGCAUGACUGCAUCUUUUGUUAGCGAAUUAUUAUUAAUUUUUGUCGAACAAAUCAAGUUUACCUAUUUUAAAAUCCAUGGUCAAGUGAGCUGAAAAUUUUAAUAAUAACUACCCUUUGUCACGUGAUUAUACCUCCGUGCCUAGUACCAUUGAAUGAUGAUAGGCUUUGUUCUCCUGUCCAUGCUUUUUGAAAUUUUAAAAUUAUUUGUUAAAUUAUUAUUGUUAAUCUUAUAUUGCAAGUCACUGACAGUAUCGCCUAAUCUAAAUGCAUUUUUAAAAUUUUAAAAUGCAUUUUGAAAUGUUUUUUAUUUCAUUUUUGUUCAGGUGACCAUAUAUUUAAUACAACACCUUUAAAGUUGACUUUUAACUAAUUUGAUAUCUUUGUAGGGGGUCGUUCAGAAUGAUAAGAAUACUUUGAUCUAAACUUUUAAUUCCAAAUGCAAUGAAAGUGAGAUGGGUUGGGUUUUUUUUUUUAUAUUCAUGAAAACUUUAAAAAAAAAUUAUAGCAUUUAUAACUACUAGUCAAUUUGAAAUAAUGUAUUUGGAGAAAAGUUGUGUUUUAAUACUUUGUUUUAUGAUUGUAAAAAAAUACCCCAUGACAAACCAGUUGUUGUUUUAUUGUUACCAUCUUUCAUAUCUAUCAUUGACCCUCUGUCCAAACUGGCUAUGUAAAGAUUGACGUAGACUAUAGCUAUGGACAGAUACCAUUGUUGAAUCAUGGCAUUAUGUAAAUGUUUCAGCAUUGUUUUCAUAAUCUUAUCCAAAGAUGUAUUUAUUAUUAAAUGUUGAGCUUAAAUAUCAAAUAUGACUUUUUGUAUAAAUUUUGAGGCAACCAUCUUGUUAUAUAUUUUGAUAUGUUGUUAUGUAUUAAACUUUAUUUAUUUCAGUAUUGAGAUUACAAAGCAUUGAUCAUUGGUAAUAAAAAUAUCAAAUAC